This 71-nucleotide transfer RNA is filed under the name Gonatodes albogularis (yellow-headed gecko). RNAcentral's name for it is "tRNA-Glu". It matches the Rfam family "tRNA". From Rfam's summary of the family: Transfer RNA (tRNA) molecules are approximately 80 nucleotides in length. Their secondary structure includes four short double-helical elements and three loops (D, anti-codon, and T loops). Further hydrogen bonds mediate the characteristic L-shaped molecular structure. tRNAs have two regions of fundamental functional importance: the anti-codon, which is responsible for specific mRNA codon recognition, and the 3' end, to which the tRNAs corresponding amino acid is attached (by aminoacyl-tRNA synthetases). tRNAs cope with the degeneracy of the genetic code in two manners: having more than one tRNA (with a specific anti-codon) for a particular amino acid; and 'wobble' base-pairing, i.e. permitting non-standard base-pairing at the 3rd anti-codon position. The record is from RNAcentral. Lineage: Eukaryota; Metazoa; Chordata; Lepidosauria; Squamata; Sphaerodactylidae.
GUUCUUAUAGUUGAAGUACAACGAUGGUUUUUCGUACCAUAGGUCCUGGUGUAAAGAUACAGGUGGGAAUU